AGAGUUUGAUCAUGGCUCAGAUUGAACGCUGGCGGCAUGCUUUACACAUGCAAGUCGAACGGCAGCACAGGGAGCUUGCUCCCGGGUGGCGAGUGGCGCACGGGUGAGUAAUACAUCGGAACGUGUCCUGUUGUGGGGGAUAACUGCUCGAAAGGGUGGCUAAUACCGCAUGAGACCUGAGGGUGAAAGCGGGGGAUCGCAAGACCUCGCGCAAUUGGAGCGGCCGAUGCCCGAUUAGCUAGUUGGUGAGGUAAAGGCUCACCAAGGCGACGAUCGGUAGCUGGUCUGAGGAGGACGACCAGCCACACGUGGGACUGGAGACACGGCCCAGACCUCCGUACGGGAGGCA
This 349-nucleotide ribosomal RNA is filed under the name uncultured bacterium. RNAcentral describes it as "bacterial SSU rRNA". It matches the Rfam family "Bacterial small subunit ribosomal RNA", at positions 8 to 350 of the family's 1533-position model. The record is from RNAcentral.